UGAAAGGAUAUCGAUAUUUUGAUGAUUAUUUCGAGUUUCUCUAAAUGUGCGAACUAAAUGUUACCUAUAUUGAAUGACAAACUACAUGUACGUGUAUCAUCAAAGGUUUUAAGUUUACUAAACUUGGCAGUAGAAAAGAAUAAAAUAAGACUUUACUGUUAAAUCUUUUAGCAAGUACUUAGAGUGUACGGGUAUAUACAUAAGUAAUAGGUUUAUAUUCUUCUUUACUCAUUUCCGCUGCUUAAAUAUAGGUAUUUGACAUAAGACAUAGGGAAGUUUAGAAAAGAUCAGUAUACAAACAUGUACAGGAUUUAAAUGGAGUCAAAACGGAAUUUCAAGUGAAAAAGGAUUUAAAAGUGAAACGCCUAAUAAUAAUUAGCUGAAGGUGGAAACGGUCAAAAUGAUAGCGGAAGUGCACUGCCAUCAUCAAAUGUGGAGAAUAGUGAUUCUUGUAGCUCAUAAGAAAUACUCUACGGUCCACACUGGAACUAACGUGUACUGCUGAAAUUUGAAGAAACAUAGUCUUGACCCCAGUAAAGACACCCCUGGUGGUCCGGUUGCCAGUCGGAUGGUUUCCGAAGGAUACUCCCUCGGCAUCUGGUGCCCUUUGGCUUCUACCCUCUGGACACCGUCCGAUAUUCUUAAGGUAAAAAAGUUCAUUUGCCCCGCGUAAUUCGGCCUACACGGUAUGCAUCGGACAAAAGCCGUGUGAUACUAGUAUCCGGUCAGCUAUCCGGUCCCCCUUGGUUAUCCGGGAUAAUUAACACACGACUUCUAUUUCAUACAGGGGCAGAAGGGGGUAUAUAAACAUCUCACCAUCAUCCUCUUCGUAAUUGAUAGAUCCCUAUUCUGACAUUUUAUUUGAAUAACAGUACAUUUAACAACAAAGAUUGAUGUGUGCCCUUAUGUAAACAAAUUUAUUAUGGUGAAAUUCUUACCGUGUCCACUAAUGUGAUAAUUAGAAAGACAGGCUAUGAACCUAUGCAUAGGAUGAAAUAGUAUGAAAAAUCUUCCAAGCUUUCAUACGCCUGCAACUUGCAGAAGGUCGUAGGCGUCACAAUGCUAUAUUGACUGCAUUAAUUGUUGAAGAAAAGAGGGUGAUGAGACGGUAUACUUUUCCCUUCUUUCUUGAAAUAUAUAACACUUUAGAAAGAAUAUGUUUUUUCUUUAACAAGUUGUUAAAUAAAGCGUGAAAAGUCUAAGAAACUUCUCAUGAGUGGGAAAAGGCAGAACUGUGAAUGAGAGAAUGACUGUCACCAGGUCUGUUUACACCCCUACGCUAUCCUUAAGGUAUCCAUCCUGGCACAGGACGGCGUUCAUCCGGGACCAGGUCAGUGAUUAUUUGGAGCCUAGUGUGUGAAAAUGGUUACCGGCUUGCAGCCGAUUCCAAUAGGUGUCCCGCCGGGUAUCGGAGUUUUUUUUUAGUUUAAUAAUAUUUUAUUGCAUAUAUAAAUAUACAUCAAUUCAUUUACAUUAACAAAAUUUCACAAUAUACAAAAGGGUUGGGCCAAAAGUUUUUACAACAUUAUCGUGGACCCUUCCCUGUAAAUGAUUAACAUCAGUUUCAUAAAGUAAAGAAAGUUAUACAUUAAAGUAAAUAUGCAUUAAGUAACAAUACAUUUUCAUUUUAAGAAG
Long non-coding RNA from Ruditapes philippinarum (Manila clam), 1635 nucleotides. RefSeq lists it as uncharacterized. The record is from RefSeq and is a predicted model, not a curated record. NCBI's taxonomy places the organism in Eukaryota, Metazoa, Mollusca, Bivalvia, Venerida, Veneridae. The transcript has 3 exons.